This 1372-nucleotide ribosomal RNA is filed under the name uncultured bacterium. RNAcentral's name for it is "bacterial SSU rRNA". It matches the Rfam family "Bacterial small subunit ribosomal RNA", at positions 28 to 1381 of the family's 1533-position model. The record is from RNAcentral.
GAUGAACGCUGGCGGCGUGCCUAAUACAUGCAAGUCGAGCGAACGGACGAGAAGCUUGCUUCUCUGAUGUUAGCGGCGGACGGGUGAGUAACACGUGGAUAACCUACCUAUAAGACUGGGAUAACUUCGGGAAACCGGAGCUAAUACCGGAUAAUAUUUUGAACCGCAUGGUUCAAAAGUGAAAGACGGUCUUGCUGUCACUUAUAGAUGGAUCCGCGCUGCAUUAGCUAGUUGGUAAGGUAACGGCUUACCAAGGCAACGAUGCAUAGCCGACCUGAGAGGGUGAUCGGCCACACUGGAACUGAGACACGGUCCAGACUCCUACGGGAGGCAGCAGUAGGGAAUCUUCCGCAAUGGGCGAAAGCCUGACGGAGCAACGCCGCGUGAGUGAUGAAGGUCUUCGGAUCGUAAAACUCUGUUAUUAGGGAAGAACAUAUGUGUAAGUAACUGUGCACAUCUUGACGGUACCUAAUCAGAAAGCCACGGCUAACUACGUGCCAGCAGCCGCGGUAAUACGUAGGUGGCAAGCGUUAUCCGGAAUUAUUGGGCGUAAAGCGCGCGUAGGCGGUUUUUUAAGUCUGAUGUGAAAGCCCACGGCUCAACCGUGGAGGGUCAUUGGGAACUGGAAAACUUGAGUGCAGAAGAGGAAAGUGGAAUUCCAUGUGUAGCGGUGAAAUGCGCAGAGAUAUGGAGGAACACCAGUGGCGAAGGCGACUUUCUGGUCUGUAACUGACGCUGAUGUGCGAAAGCGUGGGGAUCAAACAGGAUUAGAUACCCUGGUAGUCCACGCCGUAAACGAUGAGUGCUAAGUGUUAGGGGGUUUCCGCCCCUUAGUGCUGCAGCUAACGCAUUAAGCACUCCGCCUGGGGAGUACGACCGCAAGGUUGAAACUCAAAGGAAUUGACGGGGACCCGCACAAGCGGUGGAGCAUGUGGUUUAAUUCGAAGCAACGCGAAGAACCUUACCAAAUCUUGACAUCCUUUGACAACUCUAGAGAUAGAGCUUUCCCCUUCGGGGGACAAAGUGACAGGUGGUGCAUGGUUGUCGUCAGCUCGUGUCGUGAGAUGUUGGGUUAAGUCCCGCAACGAGCGCAACCCUUAAGCUUAGUUGCCAUCAUUAAGUUGGGCACUCUAAGUUGACUGCCGGUGACAAGCCGGAGGAAGGUGGGGAUGACGUCAAAUCAUCAUGCCCCUUAUGAUUUGGGCUACACACGUGCUACAAUGGACAAUACAAAGGGCAGCGAAACCGCGAGGUCAAGCAAAUCCCAUAAAGUUGUUCUCAGUUCGGAUUGUAGUCUGCAACUCGACUACAUGAAGCUGGAAUCGCUAGUAAUCGUAGAUCAGCAUGCUACGGUGAAUACGUUCCCGGGUCU